GCAGCAGUGGUUCAGUGGUAGAAUUCUCGCCUUCCGUGUGGGAGACCUGGGUUCAAUUCCUAGUCAAUGUG
This 71-nucleotide transfer RNA is filed under the name Loxodonta africana (African savanna elephant). It matches the Rfam family "tRNA". Rfam says of the family: Transfer RNA (tRNA) molecules are approximately 80 nucleotides in length. Their secondary structure includes four short double-helical elements and three loops (D, anti-codon, and T loops). Further hydrogen bonds mediate the characteristic L-shaped molecular structure. tRNAs have two regions of fundamental functional importance: the anti-codon, which is responsible for specific mRNA codon recognition, and the 3' end, to which the tRNAs corresponding amino acid is attached (by aminoacyl-tRNA synthetases). tRNAs cope with the degeneracy of the genetic code in two manners: having more than one tRNA (with a specific anti-codon) for a particular amino acid; and 'wobble' base-pairing, i.e. permitting non-standard base-pairing at the 3rd anti-codon position. The record is from Rfam by way of RNAcentral. Lineage: Eukaryota; Metazoa; Chordata; Mammalia; Proboscidea; Elephantidae.